Non-coding RNA from Phalacrocorax carbo (great cormorant), 10743 nucleotides. The record is from RefSeq and is a predicted model, not a curated record. Lineage: Eukaryota; Metazoa; Chordata; Aves; Suliformes; Phalacrocoracidae.
UAUCAGAAUGCUUUUGUUGUUUAUAUUAAUCUUAUACUCUUAGGCUGUAGUAUCAAGAUCUCUAAGAUGCCCAGCAGAUUCUGGCAAUAAUAUGCAUGCACUCUGACCGGAUCUAACUUGCACUCUGUCCUUUGUUUUAGGUGAACUUGUCUGACUCAGAGUCAGGCCAGAAGGUCUUAGGGCUGUAAGAAAAUGUCUAACUGUUUUAACAGGCAGUAUGCCAGACCAAGGCGAUGUAUAUUCAAACCACUGUCUGCUGUUAAGGUCCCCUUUACAGAGUAUUCCUUUUUUUGACAGCAGGGAGAGAAAUCAAGGCUCAGUCCAGAAUACUAAAACAAAGAGAUAUUUUUGCUGAAUUUUCUCUCCAGUAGGCAGUGGCUGGUUCCAUCGCACUGAGCAAAAUUUCCUUCCAGGGCAACAAUAGCCUGCCUUGGUUGUUACUGGAGUGAGGCCAAAAUAUUUCAUUUCAGUGCAAUAAUAUUUUUACAGCAAAAGAGCUGCUGAAUGGGGCCUUCUAGGACUAUCAUAUUUGCUGGCAGGGCUACCUUCUACCCAAUCAUGAUUUAGAUUUGCUGCCAUUUCCUUGUAAUUACUAGGCUAGGGAAGAUAGUAUUCAAAUCCCUAUUACUCCUGAAUAUGCUCUCUGAUGGUUUCCUUUUUUGCUUUUUUACCUCUUUUCUGCUACGGCGGAACAGGUAUCCCCAGCUCUGAGAAAACGAGGAGGUAGCCAGACAGGGGUGGCAUAAAUAGCUGUGUGGUAAGAUGGGCGAGUAGGAAGAAAGCGUUGAGGACUUCCAGCUCAUUGCUCUGGUUGUUUCAUUAAACAGAAGGGCAGCUAGUCAGGUGGUAACACUGGACAAAAGAACUGGCACAAUGACAGACCACCAUGGUCUGUAGGAAAGAGGAAAUUUUCCGCAGUUUUCAUAUAAGAUUCUGCUGUCACUUUAGAAAGAAGGAGUAAUUGCUCCCAUUUUAUGGAUGUAGGAACUGAAGCACAAGGCAAUUACUUGCCCUAUUUGCUGAUAACCCAAACACUUGUGUCUUCCAUUGACUGGAACAAGAACUGAAGAAACUUAUGACCUCUGUGAACCAAGUUGGCUACAUUUGAUUUGUCCAACCUCUGUAGUGAUUCAGCAGCAGAACAGAAUGGAGGUCUAGGAACAGAUCUAAGAGUGGAAGAGAGGGAAGCUGCUAAUGAAUCAGGUGUUUCCUCUCACUAAAAUCCCUUGCAGUGGCACUGGCAAUUUGGAUAUUCCUAGCUAAGCACUGCAGUUCCUCUGUGGCUGCAAAAGGCUGGUGUGAAGAGCUGGAUAGAACUGGAAAUGCUGCACAGAGCUGAGAAAUGUGGAUGUAGUCACCUGUAUGUGAGGUGACCUGGGAAGAGAGGCAGUUCCCAUGUUGGUGGAGGGGCCGCACCUACCUCCAGUUUAAUUCUCCAGAGCCCUGCAACACGUCAGAGGAUAAUGCAUAUUUCAUACAGGUAUAAAUGAGCGUGCACUUCAAAGGCUGCCUGUAUCAUGCAAUCUGACAUUUGCAUCCUUGUCACUAUGGUUGUGACCAGGCCUCAGAGCUACUGAAAUCACAGCACAGCAGUAUUUCUGGACACUUGAUGAGUUGGCGACACCAGUGAAAAUAUCCUAGAUUCAGCCCCUCCUACAGGUUCUUUCCAGGUGAUGUACCAAUCUCCUUUUGGGGAACAAGGGUUUCGGUAAUAAAUGUCCAUUAAUUCGUUCUGACACCACUAUCAAUCUGUAAGCACUAUCAUCUGCGUCUAGUCUGAAGGGUUUCAAAGCACAUAUACGCCAAGGAAGGAGCUGUCACAGGGGCCUUUUUCAGCCUUGAAAAUCUUAAAUCAUUCUGCUGAAUAGUGGGCUUAUAUUAUUGGUGUACCCAGAAAGAGACCUGUAGUUAAAGCAGCGAUAUACAGAAUUGCAGGUCUGGGAGCGCCUACGGAGGUGGUUUGUUCAAUGCAGCAUUGUGGGGGUUGGUCAGCAGUAAUUCCCAUCCUGCUGAUGGUGUAUGAAAGGUAGAUGAUCUCUUUUGGACACAUGACAAACUUCUCUGGAUUUAGUUUCAGAUUGGCAGAGCAUGUCGUAAAGACAUCAGGUCUUUUAGCAUGCAUUAUAUCAUCUAAGCACAAAACUGAAUGAACCAUUCUUUAUUUUUCCAUGCAACUCAUCGUCCAGCCUUUUCUUCUGGAAACACUCUAAAUGAUGCUUUACUUCUUUUUGUGAAAUCUCCAACUCCUGAUUUUUGCCUUUUUCUUUCCAGCUUGUGAUUUUUUUUUUCCUUUUCUUUCUUUAAGCUUCUCUUCUGAGUUUUGAAGUGCUGUAGGCAUUGGUGACUGAGCAGCAGAUUUUUUCUUACUUCCAUUUGGCCAUAUUUGCUUUUUGAACACAAAUAUACCUCUUUAGAGCCUGAAUUUUUUCCUCACAUCAUUCUUGUUCUCUGAUAUUUCAAUGCUGUUGCUAGAACAACUACUGAGAAUGUGCUAGCAAAAGGCUGCAAGAAUGUGUCUUCUCUAGCAGAAAUAGUCAAAAUAUGGGGCUUUGCAGGGAAUUUCCAGUAAGAGAGGAAACUGAUGGCAAUGCAAAGAAAAUCUUCAAUGACAUCUUACUUAUUUGCAAGGAAGGUACAAAACUCUGAUUUUCUAAAUACAGAAAAACAAAAUUAAAAAACAAACAAAAAAACUCCCCAAACAUAAAAUAAGUCUAAAGUCUGAGUGCAAUUCCCAGAAUUUCUUGGUCAGUAUAAAACCUUCUCCGUCCAUCAAGGCUUUUUUUUAAUGUAUGUACACAUGAUUCUUGCUGUGACUUCCUGACUGGCUUUGGUUGUCCUUUCUGUUGUCUUGUACUAUUUUGCCUUCUCAUUUCAGAUGUACAGCUAGACAGUUCUGCCAAAAAAAUAUCCUGCGACACACCUCCACCUACGUAGCUCAGGUUCUGAGGUGGCCUUGUGUGCGGUUUUGUUUUGCAUGGUAGCUUAUAUGUUUAAUCUAUUCGACUCUCUAAAGCAAGUUUAAUGGCUUUAUAAAACCAUCUUAAGUGAAAGACCAGUGUUAUCCCAACCCAUCUUAAUGAAGUUUAAUCCAGUCUGCCACCUAAUGACAAGAUCCUUUCGACCCCACAUUUUACACCGGAGUAAGCAGAGGUAAAGAUGUACAAUAACAGAAUGGCUUCUCUUCUCCUUGUAGCUCAGACCAUCUGCUGUUGUUACCGCAUUACCUGCUGAAAAUUGCUGAUUUUAUUGAAACAGCUUUUGCUGUCUGGUACUGAACAAACCUCAGGUGUUUAUGUGCUUGUGCCUGGAGGGAGAACAGCAGCAAUUUACAAUUUCUAUGGGACAGUUUGGAUUUGGUGUGCUUACUCUUAGUAAAAACAGAUCUUUUUGUGUACAUGGCAAAGGACUCUGAGGUAAGCAUAAGCUACAAGCAGAAACGCUACAGAGAAGAGACGUUUGUGGAACCUUAGGUAGAUUUCUGUAACUUGCAUGUAAACUUAUGAGAGAAUAUCUUGGAGACUAGGAGAAGGGUAAAUGAGAUGCAGAAGGAACUCAUCAUUUCAUCUGAGUAGAUGUGGUUUUGCAUGUGAAAUGGAGAGAACUGCAAUUUUAGCUGUUGCAAAAGUCCUGGCAAAUGCCAGGAGUGUUUCCCUGAAAGUUUUAACCAUUGUGUUCUCAACUCCACUGAACCUUUUCUCUUAUUUUAGUAGAAUUCUUGGAGUAGAUUAAGUAUGAUAUGAAAUCUGUUUCCUGCUAAGUAUUUUUCCCUCUUUGUCUUUUCCCUUCAGGUUAUUGUUGCUGUUAUACAUGUCAACUUCUCAACCCUUCCUUUCCUGGCUGUCUUUCCCUGUGUUUAGAUCUUUCUCCAAGAAAUCUGGAAAGAUGCACUCAUCUAUUUUCGUUCCAAGCAGAAGAACAAAAGCACAAAAUGAGUGGUGUAUUCCCUGCUGAUUUCACAACUUGAACCAAUAUUUUUCACAGUGUUUUUGCAGCCUUCCUCCAGAGGCACCUGCCAGAUCUUGAUCCCUGCUCAAACUCUCACUGCUGUGGAUUACUAGGAUAAGAUGUGACCUAGGAAAAUGUGACUGCAAGUGGUAAAAGCAGGAAUUUUUUUCUGUGGAGAAAAGUUAAUACUUCUUUGCAUCGGAGUUUGUUAUAAGUAAUUAUGCAGAGCUCAAGGUCCCUAGAACACUACGUUCUGGUAUCUUUGACACACCUUAUAAUGUGUUUUUAACUUUGAUGCAAUGUAGCUCUCACUGUUUCCUGCAUGCUAUAGCUACUUUGCUGAACUGCUAAAGUACUGUUCUCUUUAAAUUACGUUUUUCUAACGUUUCCAAAGCUGCAUGAAUAGAGGCAGUCAGUGUUGUUAGGUUCAUUCAGAAGAGCACUUGAGACUUGCUGCCUGUGAUUAUGUGUCCAAGCAGUGACUGGGAAUACAGAUACCAAGAUAGUUAGUUCCUUACUAUGUUUGUAGUUCUCUAACAUUUCAGUAUUUCCAAAAGAAGCCAAGUGAGACCCACAAGUAUUCACAAGAGAAGGAGGUAUUGUGUCAGAUGAUUGGGUGUCAUGUCCCUCUGAGAGUGCUUCUCUGCUGCCUACCUUACACAGCCCAUUGCAUGGCAGUCCCUGUGCGGGCUGCAGCUAGCAACAACAUUUUCUUAAAGUGACUUGUUGCCUCAGGAAACUAGCAAAGGCUAUUACAAAAUUAAAUGUGGCAUAUUUACUGAAAGCAUUUGUUAGUAAUGUGGUUUAUUUUUAGUUUUUGCUUUUUAAAAAAUCUUAUUUGUUUAUUGCAGAUAUUUUGUUCAUUAUAUCUUGUGGUGUUUUUUCCCUAAAGUAUUUCCAGUUUGCAUAAAUGCUGCUUUCCUAAGUGUUGGGUCAGAGUCUGCAUGUGAGGAGGGCACUGCGUGCAUUUUUGUGCAUGUUUUUCAGUUCUGUAGUACUGACACCGUAAAAUAACAUUUGUUCCGAAAGCCUUGUUUUCAGCUUGGAAUAGUGUUUGGGUGUUACAUGAAUGGUCAGCAUUUUCCAGUUUGCCAGUUUGUGCCUGAAACUAAGUGUGACUCUACAUAGAGUGUUAAUUUUUUUUUUUCUUAAUAAGAUAAUAGUUCAUUACUAUGCUAAAAGACUUUGUUUUGGGAAAAGAUGUUUGAGUGAUUUGUGAACUAAAACCUCACUGUCAGUUGAAAAUGUUACUCUAAGAAUUACAGUUUUAUUUGAUGUGUGCACUGUGGUCUUCCACUUGUUCUCAUUUACAACCUGGGAUGCUAUUUUACUUUGGACUGGUUUGCACCUACCAGUUAAUUACUCCUAACUCGUGAGCUUACGGUUUAGAUUAAUAGUUAAGAAAAAAGGAGAAAAACACUGUUUCUAGUUUGUGGCUGAUAAAUGAGGGAUGAAAUAAUGAGUUGGCCUGGCCAUGCUCCUGAAGUCUGUGGCAAAGCUAGAAUUUGAAACUGUAUUCUGAGUCAGCUAUUAGAUCAGGCUCCUUGACUGGGAAAAGUUUCAGCUGUACAGAACCUUUUUUUUUUUGUAUGGAGUAGUUUGAAUGUCACCUAAAAACCAAGUUCUCUUCUUGUUUUGACAUGAACAACAGAGAUUUCCUCUUCCGCUGGCAGACUUCAUUAACAAUAUGGCUCUUUUAAUCACUAGGCACUCACCCAAAAUAUCCUGCACAUUGUUGGAGUGUCCUUACUGGUAGGAAGCAUGACCUUCUCUCUGAUACUAGGCCACCAAAAAGAAUGUAGUAAAUUUUAAUGUGAUUGUAACUUAGCCAGCAUUUACAUAAAAGAAAACAAUGAUCUUCUUGUUAUGGAGAUCAUUAAUGAAACAUCAGCACUGGUCUGCAAACGCUACCAUGUUGUGAUCCAGCUGAAAAAACAGCCUUGUGUAACUUGAGUGCAUUGCAUAACACAGGAAGUGGAAAAACAAACUAAAUUUUCAAGGGUUGUUUACAUUUGAACUAGAUCCGAAUGAAAAGUCUACAGUGAAUAGCUUUUUGAGUAAUUUAACUUAUGUAUCCUCUGAAGGAAUAUCUAUGAAGCUGAAUAUAUUCUUUCUCGCCUGUUCAAUGCUGGUAUUUGUGGUUGCAUUUUUUAGCAUGUUAAUCUAAUGUUUGAAAUACAUAUAGCAUUGAAUUUCAGAUAAGUCAUGUGGCGCUGUUUCGUUUCCGACUGGAGAAGGGUAUGAGUACUCUGCGGUCAGGAUUUGUAGGUGAUUCAAAAUCCAUCUCCCUUAUGCAGUCAGGCAUGUAACUUUGAAAUUUGCUUAUCAGUUAGUAUCUUGAAAGUUAAAAACAGUAAGUCACAUGUUGUGAUAGGCGAACUCAUGUUCCAAUAAACUCACGGAAACAUAAUAAUUUGCAGAACUUGCUUGAUAGAUUUUAUCUAGGUAUAGUUCCUUGUGUUUCAAUGCGGUACAUUCAAGACAAAGUAAUUUCUCUCAAAUAGUAUUCUUCAAUUAUAUCUCACUGUAGAAAAGCAAAGUUGCAAAACUCAGCGAGAUUUCAGGAGGAGGCAGCCAAACGAGAAACUCUGCAACUGUUUCUUAUAAGGUCUGCCAUUUUCCAAAGUGUUAAAAUCCCAUGAGGAUCAAGCGUGUAAACAGUGAUCUGAACCUCAGUUUUGGCAUUCAAGCCUGAGAUGUUUGUUAACAGCUUUAAAAGUCCUCCCCUGAUAUCUUUAAACUUCCUGGAUCAGAGAUUUCUUUAGGGUGAGUUACAGCCUGUUGGAAGUUUAUCUUGUUAUAAAGUUCUUGAAGGGAAUGGCAUCCAGGCAAAAAAGAUUAAAAAUUGGAUUUAAAGACUGAAAAAUGAGAAAACUGAACUGCAAGAUGAAACUGUCAGUUCUUGUUAUGAGUGGUGUGUAAACUAACACAUGCACAGAGUUCAAGAGACUUAUGUUGACUUUUCAUUAGCUGAAGAUCUGUUUCUGUGAUCCAGCUGAAGGGACACAGACAUUGCUGACCAAAAAAAGAUUGCUCAGCAUCGACCAGCAAAUUGAUAUUGGCCCACAUGUGAAUUAUUAAUGGACAGGAUGGCCACAUUGUGAAUUGUAUUUUGCCUUUCAUUAGCAGGAGAGGAGGGGAGUGUGCUGUGCUAGCUUAUUCUAGUAAAUAGCGUGGAGUUGUAAAACUUGAAAUUUUAUUUUAUGUACCGGACUGAACAGAAUUGCAGGACAUACUCUCAUGGUUUCUUCUGUUAUCAUUAAAAUUAAUAGCCAUCUGAUAGGCAUCAACUUCAGUGUAAAAGGAGGUGUUCUUAAGUUGGGUCAGCCUUCAGUGGAUAAGCGAGAGGCACAUAAAUCUGGGUGUUCUCAGGCGUUACUUGGCAUUGGAUAUUUUCUGCCAGCAGGACCUAAGGGUAGCUGAUGAGAAAGCACUUGACAGUGGGUAUAAUUGCUGUAUACCAUGGGGCUAAAGUAACUUUCUCAGCCUACAUUAUCUGCUCAAAUAAACUAUGUAGUAUUAAGAAUGCAUUAAGUAUUGUGGUUUAUUUGAUCACCAGAACUCUCCCGCCCCUGCCCCCCAAGUCACAGAUGCAGCAGUGGCUUUUCAGCUGAGUGAGGAUACCACAUAAUAUAUGGUUGCCUGGGGAUUAUUCUUUGGAUUUGGGUUAACUUAAAAUUUGGCUAUGUUUUUAUAAUUAUUUUUUCCUUUAUUUUUCCCAUGUGAAAAAAAACCUGGUUUUGAUAUAUCUCUAUAUAUGUAUAUUAUCCAUGUAUUUAAAAUAUGUGACAAUAUGCAAACUGUAUUUCAAAUGGCACAGUGCUGGCCAAUUUCCAACCUGGGUUAGAUUUAUAGGAUAAUAGUAUAUUGUAUUGUUUUGUGUCAAAUUUUGGACUAAUGAACAAUUAAUUUCAACACACAACAGUGCCCCCCCAUCUUUCUACAUAUAAAACAAUUUUUGUGAAACACAGAAAGUAGGUGAAAGAUGCGUGCUUCCUUAAAGGGCUGACUGUUUCAGGGAAAAUAUUCGAUUUCGAGAUCUGUUGAGAUUACACUGAGUGUGUUCCAUUAUCUUAUUUGUCCUCUGUAUUUCAGUAAAGUCUGGAGGUCAUUGACAGUUGUGCUAAGUGCUGUACACACAGAAUAAGAAAAGUGGUCUUCCCUGCGGUUAAAGGGAGAAACAAGAGCUGGUUGUGAAGAGCAAUUGUAGAAAGCAUAGCGCGUGCUUUGUAAACAACAAUGGCCUGGAAUGGAAGUGUUUGUUCCAGUUUGGGAUGUGCCACUCUGAGGAGAGAGGGAGGGAGACAGGGCAAGAAGCAAAGCAAACUGGAACACUGACAUGAAAUUGAGCAGCGUGUAUUCUGUAUCCACAUCAAAGGUCUGGACGGAAGACAUUUGAGACAAGGACAUGGAGCUGAUACUGCUCUGUGGAGAUGGAAAAUGGAUAAAUGUCUGAUUCUCUCAUCAGAAAGCGAUUUCUUGGAUAUUUUCUGCUCCCUCAAGAAAAAAUGAAGCAUUUUUGUUCCUGCCUUGAACAUCCUGUGAAAGGAAAAGGUGCAAAAUAUGUCAUGCUCAGAGGGAGCAUAAAAUUCUGGGUCGGGCAGUGGAAUCAUUUUAUUGAAUACCAUAUUUGUCAUGGAAAAGCUUGGAAGAAUGGUUUUUCUGUUACCUUAAUUCCUACUGCAUCUCUGCUGAGCAUGGUGAUUUGCGUGAUCAAGUAUACUGGAUAAUGAAUAUGAUGAGUAGCUACAGUAAAAGUAGGAGAACUGGAAUAGCAUGAAACAGAACAGAAAUUGGCCUUGAAACUUGGUAUAAGUCUCACUGACUGGGUUAUCAGAGGAGGCUAUGAAGAUGUCAGACCUUGGCAAAAUGGGACUUCUAGGACUGUGCCCAUAGCAUGAUGUCCUUCUUUUAGUUCUGGCUACUUGAAGGCUUCUUUCAUUAGAGAGACUGAUGACUAUUACUACAAAUAUCCCACAGAGCAUUCAGUUAUGCUGGAAGGAGGGUGAAAACGACAUGCCAGAAGCUAUGCAAGAGAGAUGAUGCACAUUAUUCUAAUUUUAUGAGGUUGCUUUCUUUGAUAAUUUGCUUAGCGCUUGUUCCAUGAGCACAUAGGGAAAGCAAGCCUUCAUUAAGAAAAAAUGCAGUUUCUAGGGGAAAUUACAGAUGUGGUCAUCUACUGGGGAGUGAAAAACUUGAACUAAGUGGACUCUACAGAUAAUAUUUUUAUGAUGAUGUGCUUGUGAUCCCGUAUCAGCCGUGCACACAAAAAUGAGGCCUUCCGUACUACUUGGAACACGAUAUAUACACCACCUGCUUGCAGCUCUGGGUGUGAAGCAAGGACACCAAGAACUGGAUGAGGAAUUGCAGGAACACAAGAGAUUUUCCUGGGAAUGCAUCCAAGAAGCGCCGGUGGAGGCUUUCUAGUUAAUCAGUUUGUCAAAAGGAGUACUUUUUUCCAACGUGCAACAUUAUUCACUUAAUUUUCCAUUAGGCCUUUUAAUUGAAAGCGAUGAUUUUCACCCACUGUACUGUUGUUGAGCCGAUAAGAUAAGAUCUUACACUAAUGGAAAAUCAGUUAAUGCAAAAUACAGCAGCUUAAAGCAGAAAGGGGAGAGGCUGACUGCAGAGCUUGGAGCAGUAAUACCAGCUUGUCAUCCGACACUGGUCUGCUUGAGUGGGAAUGUGAACUUUGACUCUAGUGUCCAUUCUCUCAAAGGCCAAAGAAAUUGAGAUAAAGAGGCACAAGAGCAGCAAGACAUCCUGAGGAUACACUAGAAGACUGAAGUGAUGCUCUGAAGGCUAUUUUUCUUGGCUGUGGAAGCCUGAUUGCAAUUUCUCUCUGUUUUGGGUUUUAGGCACAGUACAGAAUACUUCUGGCAUCUGCUUUCCUCUCCAUUGCUAAUCCGCCUGGUACUGUCCCCUUGUGAUGACUGCUCAUGUUCUGCCUGGAGAACCCACCGCUUCUGCGGUUUUUGAAACACGGUGAUAUAAAUGUCCACACUGUAGCCAUCUCCCAAAGGAAAUCUAUACCUAUUGACUAUAUAUACAAGAGGAUCACAUCAUCAGCUCAAGAGAGAAAUUCCAUUCUGAAAUACCACAGGAUAACGCCUUACAGCUCUCACUUGUUCUUGUGACAUCAUGAUUGUGAUUUCCUGGAGAAAAGUGACAAUUACGCCAAGCUUCUCUGGGCAGUGUAGCACCAAGGCUGUUCACAUAGCACCUCCCAGUUGAUGUUAAGACACAUGUGCUCUUCAUUCUCUACUCUCCUAUUGGCAAGAGCUUCUGUGGGAAGUCUGAAGAAAGAACUUGAUCACGCUGUACAACAGAUUCAGUGAAUAUCAUCGGCAUGCCUUUAGAUGGCAUUUUCACUGAAACUGAAGAUACCUUAAGCACUGGUUUUGUGAAACCUGGUCGGAUCGUGGCAACUACCAGCUCACUUCUGUUUUAUUAGCUGCUCCUAGUGGAGAAGUGCAACAUGUUUCUGAGUCAGCAAAGGGAACCCAGCACAUUUCCCAACAGCCAGAGGAGCAGCCUUGGGGAAAAAGGCAAACCACUAAUGAGCUAUUAACAGUAAACAGAAAGGAGGAAGAUCAAAGCAAAGCAGCUUGAAACGAAGGGCCAGGUGGACACCAGAAGGAAAUGGUCUACACCGAAGCCAUUAUGUUGUGAGAAAUAUCAGAGAGCUUCCUGAGCUCAGCAUGUCCCAGUGUUGUUUGAGAGAGAUACAGAGUCAGCUGGCUGCUUUUCCAGUCAGCAUUACUCUCACUAUGCCUUUACCUACAGACAGCAACUUCU